This 253-nucleotide ribosomal RNA is filed under the name uncultured bacterium. RNAcentral's name for it is "partial 16S ribosomal RNA". It matches the Rfam family "Bacterial small subunit ribosomal RNA", at positions 524 to 776 of the family's 1533-position model. The record is from RNAcentral.
UACGUAGGGUGCGAGCGUUAAUCGGAAUUACUGGGCGUAAAGCGUGCGCAGGCGGUUUUUUAAGACAGGCGUGAAAUCCCCGGGCUUAACCUGGGAACUGCGCUUGUGACUGGAAGGCUAGAGUACGGCAGAGGGGGGUGGAAUUCCACGUGUAGCAGUGAAAUGCGUAGAGAUGUGGAGGAACACCGAUGGCGAAGGCAAUCCCCUGGACCUGUACUGACGCUCAUGCACGAAAGCGUGGGGAGCAAACAGG